This 1184-nucleotide long non-coding RNA is filed under the name Ovis aries (sheep). Its description in RNAcentral is "lncRNA (ENSOARG00000026336.1)". The record is from RNAcentral. Lineage: Eukaryota; Metazoa; Chordata; Mammalia; Artiodactyla; Bovidae.
UGUUCCUGGAGGUCUGUGGAGUGUGAGCACAGUCCCACCUGGCAGCGUCUUUGAGAUCAGCUACUCCUGGGCAAAAGCAGACGGAGGUGUGAAGGACACAGUAGUCCCAUGUUUUCUGUAAUCUUCCCGAGGCGGGAAGGUCAAACCCAGACGGGCAGAGACGAGCUCCUGUCUCUGGGUGGUCUGCGGGGGCACGUGCAGGAGAGGCCUGGUGCUUGGGGUGCAUGUGGGGUUUAGCCACUGCAGGACCCCAGGAUGCAUGCAGGUCAGAGCUUCCAACUACCCCGCGAGUGUGAUGCUCCCCUAAGCCUCCUGAGAGCAGGGGCGGGGACUUGACUCCAGCCAACAGGGGACAAAACUAGGGUCUGAAUGGCCUGACCCCGGGCCACAGAGCUGGUGGCGAACAAAACAGCCGCUUUUCCCAGCGCAGCUUUGUUGCUGUUCAAACGCUCAGUCGUGUCCGACUCUGCGACCCCACGGACUGCAGCACGCCAGGCUUCCCUGUCCUUCACCAUCUCCCAGUUUGCAGCUUAGCGUAGUCCAAACACACAGAAAAGGGAAAUAGAUCUGUGAGGUCCAAACAGAACAUGCGGUUAACCCUCAGUGAUGGUGAGAGCCGUGUGUCUGAAAUCUACAGCAGAGCCUGGAACGCAUUCAGCAGCAGGGAGGCCAGCGUUUUCUUGAAAUUCUGCAUCCAGACGCCAAUGCCAGUUCCUGGGAUUAGCUCUCAGAAUGUCCGCCCAACAGCUGGGUUCACAGAGGUCAGAGAAUGCCCGCCUUGGCAUGUUCUCACUAGAGCACGUUGUCAGGAGCUGAGAAGUGUGUUAGCACCCCCGCCUCAGGUUCCAAAGCGCAGUGUGGGUCAGAGCAUCCUUGCACUCAUGCUUUCCCAUUUUUUUCCCAUGCUCUUCAUCAAAGAAGCCCGUAUUAAAAUGAAUUAUCAGGCCAGCACUAAUAAGAAGAUGCAACAUGAAAGUCAGCUCUCUGCCAAGAAGGACGACAAACUCUUCUUUAACGAUGAGGACAAAGAAAUACUUUAUCAGAUUAAAAGCCUAGCAGCUCUGGAAAGAAUCAUUGAAAGUCUCCGGAAAUCUUUAGGGAGUUCGCUCAUGAAAAGAAGAAAGAAGUAUAAACAUUUGUUCAGGGGAGGCAAAAGCCGCAAGCGGAGAGAGAGCCCAGACUGA